AAGAGCGGAAGGGAAAGUUUCCGGAACUCCGGCCUAACCAUCGUCCCCAAACUAUCCCGGCUCUCACCCCACGGGAAAAAAAAAAAAAAAAAAAAAAAAAAAACGGGCGGUUAGAACCAAACAGCCACCCAUCAGCCCCAACUACCGUUUUUGACGCAGAUGGCUAUGCGAAGCCAUGUCAAGACGAACCGCAGCCCUAAUCUCCUCAAUCUCGUGCGGCCACCACCCUUCCGAACGUUGUUGGUUAGCCAUUAUAUCGGCCGCCUUGUUUCCUUCUCUAAAGAUGUGAGAAACCUGC
RNAcentral lists this long non-coding RNA (298 nucleotides) under Salvia miltiorrhiza (redroot sage). RNAcentral describes it as "long non-coding RNA (SMIL_LNC012587)". The record is from RNAcentral. Lineage: Eukaryota; Viridiplantae; Streptophyta; Magnoliopsida; Lamiales; Lamiaceae.